Molecule: long non-coding RNA, 699 nt
Organism: Zeugodacus cucurbitae (melon fly)
Lineage: Eukaryota; Metazoa; Arthropoda; Insecta; Diptera; Tephritidae
Exons: 2
Source: RefSeq, a predicted model, not a curated record
CUGCGUUUAAAUCCAUAAUUUUGAAACUACUUGCAAAAAUAUUAAUAACUGUUAGAAAGUAACAGUAAUUAACUGUAAUUAAAAUCAUAUUUGCUAUUUCUUUAACCACCUAUAUAAAAUAUUGCAACUCACUCGGUUAUUUACAAAAAUAUUAUAUUCAUAAACCGUCUUAAAGUAAUUUUACGUUAAUUUCUUCAAAAAAUCAAUAAACAGCACUUAGCGGAAUAAUAGUUUUGUUUGACCAUCUUUGUUCAAUUGACAACCAGACCGACUACCGCCCCGGACUUUGAUGUUUAUGUAUUUGCAGGGAUAUUCCGAAAAUGACACAUUGCAACUGAAGGCGCUGGUUGGGCUUACAACCCUCAAUUUCGAAAUGCGCAUGUGCGUCUUAGUGACAUAUGUCAAGUGUGGAAAAUACAAAUUUUUUAUUAUAAAUUCACAUAUUUACUUAACGUGUCACACAAAUCCUUGUGAAUUGUCAGUAUGGUAUUAAAAAUGUAGCAAAUAGCUUUUGAAAUGAAAUUAAUGGCACGAUUCCGAUUACUUUGGCGCCGCGAUCUGAGGGCAUCGUUGGAAAGAGGACGUCCUCCCGAUUAACUAAACAAAUUAACUAAUAUUUCACAUUAACAACGUUUAUUUACCAGAAUUUUGUUAAAUACUAAAUAAUUUUGUUCACUAAAUAAACCGUUACACUUUUAA